RNAcentral lists this ribosomal RNA (402 nucleotides) under uncultured bacterium. RNAcentral's name for it is "bacterial SSU rRNA". It matches the Rfam family "Bacterial small subunit ribosomal RNA", at positions 355 to 774 of the family's 1533-position model. The record is from RNAcentral.
UGGGGAAUUUUGCGCAAUGGGGGAAACCCUGACGCAGCAACGCCGCGUGGAGGAUGAAAUCCCCUGGGAUGUAAACUCCUUUCGAUCGGGAAGAUAAUGACGGUACCGAGAGAAGAAGCCCCGGCUAACUUCGUGCCAGCAGCCGCGGUAAUACGAGGGGGGCAAGCGUUGUUCGGAAUUAUUGGGCGUAAAGGGUGCGUAGGCGGUUUGAUAAGUCUUGUGUGAAAUCUCUGGGCUCAACCCAGAGUCUGCACAGGAAACUGUCGGGCUUGAGUAUGGGAGAGGUGAGUGGAAUUUCCGGUGUAGCGGUGAAAUGCGUAGAUAUCGGAAGGAACACCUGUGGCGAAAGCGGCUCACUGGACCAUAACUGACGCUGAUGCACGAAAGCUAGGGGAGCAAACA